AUGCACUUGAAGUGUGAUCCAUCUGGAGUACACGUCUCGACUGAGCACCCGUUCCUGGCAGCCACCCGCGAUGGCCUUGUUAGUUGCUUCUGUUGUGGGCCGGGGCUCCUCGAGGUUAAGUGCCCUUAUAAAACACGGGAACUUUUUCAAGCAAAAAUUGCAGCAACACGUGAUGGGUGCCUCACAUCUAUCGACGGAGAGCUGCAGUUAAACCGGGAGCACUGCUACUAUUAUCGAGUGCAAAUGAAGAUCCUAGUCAGCAAGAGAAUGUACUGUGAUUUCGUUGUCUGGACCCUGAAGGACACAUUUAUAGAGCGGAUCUGCUUCAGCGAAGGCUUUUGCGAUGCAAUGCUUUCCAGAUGCAAGGAAUACUUUAGCACUGCUCUACUCCCAGAACUCUGCUUUAAGUACUGGACCAACAAAGAGGGCGAACAAGCUGCAGCAGUGGAUGACCCCAUGAGUGAAGACUCCGAUGAGCAAGAUUCAUUUUGCUAUUGUGGGGGCCAGGGUAUGGCGACAUGAUCCAGUGCGACGGCGAAAGCUGCAUUGGGAAGUGGUUCCACUUUAGUUGUGUUAAAAUCAAACGUGCCCCCAAAGCACGAAAGUGGUUCUGCAAGAAUUGUGCCUCGUCGUCGCAACACUAAC
RNA transcript from Ixodes scapularis (black-legged tick), 645 nucleotides. RefSeq lists it as uncharacterized. The record is from RefSeq and is a predicted model, not a curated record. The transcript has a single exon. Lineage: Eukaryota; Metazoa; Arthropoda; Arachnida; Ixodida; Ixodidae.